This 379-nucleotide unclassified non-coding RNA is filed under the name uncultured Gammaproteobacteria bacterium. RNAcentral describes it as "contains 16S-23S intergenic spacer region". The record is from RNAcentral. Lineage: Bacteria; Pseudomonadati; Pseudomonadota; Gammaproteobacteria.
UCCGGUUUUUCACCGGCAGUCUCUUUAGAGUGCUCAGCAUAACCUGAUGGCAACUAAGGACAAGGGUUGCGCUCGUUGCGGGACUUAACCCAACAUCUCACGACACGAGCUGACGACAGCCAUGCAGCACCUGUGUUCCGGUUCCCUUUCAGGCACACCCGCCUCUCGGCAGGCUCCCAGACAUGUCAAGGGUAGGUAAGGUUGUUCGCGUUGCAUCGAAUUAAUCCACAUCAUCCACCGCUUGUGCGGGUCCCCGUCAAUUCCUUUGAGUUUUAACCUUGCGGCCGUACUCCCCAGGCGGUCAACUUCACGCGUUAGCUACGGUACUCAGAAAUCGCUUCCCGAACACCCAGUUGACAUGGUUUAGGGCGUGGACUAC